This 406-nucleotide ribosomal RNA is filed under the name uncultured bacterium. Its description in RNAcentral is "partial 16S ribosomal RNA". It matches the Rfam family "Bacterial small subunit ribosomal RNA", at positions 29 to 526 of the family's 1533-position model. The record is from RNAcentral.
AUUGAACGCUGGCGGCUGGCCUAACACAUGCAAGUCGCACGAGUGGCGGACGGGUGAGUAAUGACUGGGAAACUGCAUGAUGGAGGGGGAUAACUAAUGGAAACGGUAGCUAAUAACGCAUACCAUCGGAUGUGCCCAGAUGGGAUUAGCUAGUAGGUGGGGUAAAGGCUCACCAGGGCGACGAUCCCUAGCUGGUCUGAGAGGAUGACCAGCCACACGGGAACUGAGACACGGUCCAGACCCCUACGGGCGGCAGCAGUGGGGAAUAGUGCACAAUGGGCGCAAGCCUGAUGCAGCCAUGCCGCGUGUAUGAAGAAGGCCUUCGGGUUGGAAAGUACUUUCAGCGGGGAGGCGGUACCCGCAGAAGAAGCACCGGCUAACUCCGUGCCAGCAGCCGCGGUAAUAC